RNAcentral lists this long non-coding RNA (891 nucleotides) under Vitis vinifera (wine grape). RNAcentral describes it as "long non-coding RNA (VVIN_LNC004983)". Lineage: Eukaryota; Viridiplantae; Streptophyta; Magnoliopsida; Vitales; Vitaceae. The record is from RNAcentral.
UCUGUCCUCUCCAUUAGCAAGGGGUAUUUGUAGGUUUGGCUUCCACUAUGUGGUUCCAGUGAUGGAAUGGCCAUCUAAGUCCGCCAACAAAAUGAGCAGAAGAGAAAGCAUAGAUUAAAAUGCUGAGAUUUCCAACUUGCUGCCUUUUUCCCAAGUUCUUGUUCUCGCUAAAGAUCUCAGAGUUUUGUCUUACGUGAUUAAUAAGUCAUGCCAGACACCAGAUUCAACUGAGUAAUAGCCGUUAAAGGGACACUUGGGAGAAAGAAGAGAAGCGUUCACAAAGCUCACCCUCUCUUCAUUUCCCUCAUUUUCCUUACAAGUCACAAAAUCCCCAUAUUUCCAACUCAAACCUCCUCCGGCAACUGAAACUUCUAAUUCCGGCUGUGUGCUUAAAUUCACCAUAAGAAACAGCAAGUUUUCUGACGAGAUUCCGAUAUGGAGCUGUGAGUCCAAUCGGGAAAACGAAAAUCACCUCAGAUUCAGAAAAGAAGAGAACACCGAACUGCGUCUAUAAAUGAAUAGAGAAAUCAACUCUCUUUCUCUCUCCUCAUUUUCUAUGAUUCUUCUAUCCUCUCCUUGGACCUUUUUGAUCACCUUUAGAUCCAUAAGGAUAGAACCAAAACCAGUUUCAUUCUCAUUAGGGUCCAAAAUAGAGCAUCCAUGAACACAGUCCGGUUAACAACUCCUGCUUCAUUUAAACCAAUGGGUGACUCCAGCUGUUUUAUCAAUUACAAGAGGCCAGGCUCCAUUUCUGGGAUCUUCACUCGUAGAAGGAACCUCAAGUGUGGGAGCCAAAACAGAGACUCGGAGGGAAACACUCAUGCACAUAAUGGGGAGAAAGAAACAGAGAAUACAAUGGAAUGAAGCUUUAAAAAAAAAAGAUAAAUAAAG